This 66-nucleotide transfer RNA is filed under the name Caudoviricetes sp. RNAcentral's name for it is "tRNA-OTHER". Lineage: Duplodnaviria; Heunggongvirae; Uroviricota; Caudoviricetes. The record is from RNAcentral.
UGUAAGCAUUUUGUUUGUGCGUUCGGGACGCAGAGGUCGCAAGUUCAAAUCUUGUCACCUCGACCA